GAUGAAGAACGUAGUGAAAUGCGAUAAGUAAUGUGAAUUGCAGAAUUCAGUGAAUCAUCGAAUCUUUGAACGCACAUUGCGCCCUCUGGUAUUCCGGGGGGCAUGCCUGUUCGAGCGUCAUUAUAACCACUCAAGCUCUCGCUUGGUAUUGGGGUUCGCGGUUUCGCGGCCCCUAAAAUCAGUGGCGGUGCCUGUCGGCUCUACGCGUAGUAAUACUCCUCGCGAUUGAGUCCGGUAGGUCUACUUGCCAGCAACCCCUAAUUUUUUUUAAGGUUGACCUCGGAUCAGGUAGGGAUACCCGCUGAACUUAAGCAUAUCAAUAAGCGGAGGA
Molecule: unclassified non-coding RNA, 331 nt
Filed under: soil metagenome
Description: partial contains 5.8S ribosomal RNA, internal transcribed spacer 2, and large subunit ribosomal RNA
Rfam family: 5.8S ribosomal RNA (bases 1-120)
Source: RNAcentral